CCUACGGGAGGCAGCAGUGAGGAAUAUUGGUCAAUGGGCGGGAGCCUGAACCAGCAAAGUCGCGUGAGGGAAGACGGUCCUAUGGAUUGUAAACCUCUUUAUGCGGGGAGCAAUGCCGGGCGCGCGUGCCCGGAGGGAGAGUACCCGCAGAAUAAGCAUCGGCUAACUCCGUGCCAGCAGCCGCGGUAAUACGGAGGCUGCGAGCGUUAUCCGGAUUUAUUGGGGUUAACGGGUGCGUAGGCGGAUGUGUAAGUCAGCGGGAAAAUGUCGGGGCUCAACCCGGGCCGGCCGUUGAAACUGGGGAUCUUGAGUGGGCGAGAAGUAUGCGGAAUGCGUGGUGUAGCGGUGAAAUGCAUAGAUAUCACGAAGAACUCCGAUUGCGAAGGCAGCAUACCGGCGCCCGACUGACGCUGAGGCACGAAAGCGUGGGGAUCGAACAGGAUUAGAUACCCCAGUAGUC
Molecule: ribosomal RNA, 460 nt
Filed under: uncultured bacterium
Lineage: Bacteria
Description: partial 16S ribosomal RNA
Rfam family: Bacterial small subunit ribosomal RNA
Source: RNAcentral